This 493-nucleotide ribosomal RNA is filed under the name uncultured bacterium. RNAcentral describes it as "partial 16S ribosomal RNA". It matches the Rfam family "Bacterial small subunit ribosomal RNA", at positions 28 to 506 of the family's 1533-position model. The record is from RNAcentral.
GACGAACGCUGGCGGCGUGCUUAACACAUGCAAGUCGAACGGUGAAGCGCCUUCCUUUUUGGUGGGUGUGGAUGAGUGGCGAACGGGUGAGUAACACGUGAGUAACCUGCCCCCUUCUUCUGGAUAACCGCAUGAAAGUGUGGCUAAUACGGGAUAUUCUGGGUCUGUCGCAUGAUGGGUCUGGGAAAGAUAUUGUUUCGGUGGGGGAUGGGCUCGCGGCCUAUCAGCUUGUUGGUGGGGUGAUGGCCUACCAAGGCGGUGACGGGUAGCCGGCCGGAGAGGGUGGACGGUCACACUGGGACUGAGACACGGCCCAGACUCCUACGGGAGGCAGCAGUGGGGAAUAUUGCACAAUGGGCGCAAGCCUGAUGCAGCGACGCCGCGUGAGGGAUGGAGGCCUUCGGGUGGUGAACCUCUUUCGCCAGUGAAGCAGGCCUGCCUCGUUUGUGGGUGGGUUGACGGUAGCUGGAUAAGAAGCGCCGGCUAACUACGU